RNAcentral lists this ribosomal RNA (508 nucleotides) under uncultured bacterium. RNAcentral's name for it is "bacterial SSU rRNA". It matches the Rfam family "Bacterial small subunit ribosomal RNA", at positions 28 to 528 of the family's 1533-position model. The record is from RNAcentral.
GACGAACGCUGGCGGCGUGGAUUAGGCAUGCAAGUCGAACGGUAUCAUCCUUUCGGGGGUGAGAGAGUGGCGAACUGGUGAGUAACACGUAGGUUAUCUACCCUCAAGACGGGGACAACCCAGGGAAACUUGGGCUAAUACCGGAUGUGAGCAACUUUUAGUUAUUUGAAAGGUGGCGUAAGCUGUCGCUUGGGGAUGAGCCUGCGUCCUAUUAGUUAGUUGGUGAGGUAACGGCUCACCUAGGCAAUGAUAGGUAGGCGGCCUUAACGGGUGGUCGCCCACACUGGGAUUGAGAUACGGCCCAGACUCCUACGGGAGGCAGCAGUCGAGAAUAGUCUACAAUGGUCGGAAGACUGAUAGUGCGACGCCGCGUGAACGAUGAAUCCCUUCGGGGUGUAAAGUUCUUUUAUAUGUGAGCAGUGCUUCUUAUAUUAACAGUAUGGGGAGAGAGAUAUUAGCAUAUGAAUAAGCAACGGCUAACUCCGUGCCAGCAGCCGCGGUAAAACGU